Molecule: long non-coding RNA, 316 nt
Filed under: Ananas comosus (pineapple)
Lineage: Eukaryota; Viridiplantae; Streptophyta; Magnoliopsida; Poales; Bromeliaceae
Description: long non-coding RNA (ACOM_LNC013418)
Source: RNAcentral
UAUCAAUUCAACACAUUAAUUUGGUAUGAUUAUGUUUGUUUACAAAUUUUAUAUUUUGUUUAAGUUAGGAUGGCGCGUAGUAAUGUGGCUAUUGUUGUUUAUUGGAAUGGAGAAAUAUUUGAGCACGAUAGCAAUCCAAAGUAUGUUGGCGGUCGUAAGAAAUUAAGUGGUAUUCCAGUGGAUAUUACAUUUACAGAAUUCGAGAGAAAAAUAUAUAGAUUGACCGAUACUUCGAGAGAUGAGUAUCGCCUAAUUAUUAAAGUCCGAUAUUCAACCGGGAUGAAUCAAUUCGAUAUAGUUGAAGUUACGGACGAUG